GGGCCGGUAGCUCAGCCAGGUAGAGGUUGUGGGCCACCUAAAGCGCCGGGCUCUUAACCCGGCGGUCCCGGGUUCAAAUCCCGGCCGGCCCGCCA
Molecule: transfer RNA, 95 nt
Filed under: Thermoprotei archaeon
Lineage: Archaea; Thermoproteati; Thermoproteota; Thermoprotei
Also listed under: 1 other name
Description: tRNA-Lys
Rfam family: tRNA
About the family: Transfer RNA (tRNA) molecules are approximately 80 nucleotides in length. Their secondary structure includes four short double-helical elements and three loops (D, anti-codon, and T loops).
Source: RNAcentral